AUUGAACGCUGGCGGCAUGCUUUACACAUGCAAGUCGAACGGCAGCGUGGGCUUCGGCCUGGCGGCGAGUGGCGAACGGGUGAGUAAUGCAUCGGAACGUGCCCAGUAGUGGGGGAUAGCCCGGCGAAAGCCGGGUUAAUACCGCAUACGACCUGAGGGUGAAAGCGGGGGACCGAAAGGCCUCGCGCUAUUGGAGCGGCCGAUGUCGGAUUAGCUAGUUGGUGGGGUAAAGGCUUACCAAGGCGACGAUCCGUAGCUGGUCUGAGAGGACGACCAGCCACACUGGGACUGAGACACGGCCCAGACUCCUACGGGAGGCAGCAGUGGGGAAUUUUGGACAAUGGGGGCAACCCUGAUCCAGCCAUGCCGCGUGCGGGAAGAAGGCCUUCGGGUUGUAAACCGCUUUUGUUCGGGAAGAAAUCCUCUGGGCUAAUACCCCGGGGGGAUGACGGUACCGGAAGAAUAAGCACCGGCUAACUACGUG
RNAcentral lists this ribosomal RNA (484 nucleotides) under uncultured bacterium. RNAcentral describes it as "partial 16S ribosomal RNA". It matches the Rfam family "Bacterial small subunit ribosomal RNA", at positions 28 to 507 of the family's 1533-position model. The record is from RNAcentral.